RNAcentral lists this unclassified non-coding RNA (467 nucleotides) under Hevea brasiliensis (rubber tree). Lineage: Eukaryota; Viridiplantae; Streptophyta; Magnoliopsida; Malpighiales; Euphorbiaceae. The record is from RNAcentral.
GGGAGAACUACUUAAUGCGCAAAAGAAAGAGGGUGAGAGACUGUACAUAAUUAGAGAAAAUUAGAGCAAGUUUAUGGUAAUGUCAUCUAUUAGGGCAAGAAAGAUUCUCAAAUCCCUGAAAACUAUGAAAUUUAAUGAGAUACAAGGAAUAACCAACCCUGAACCUAAGAAAAAACAAAGAAAAAAAAAGCAAGCUGUCUGCAAUAAUUAAUAGACAAUAAAGCACAUAACUACAGGACAUGCCACCCAACCCAAGUUCCAUUUUACACUUUAGGCUUUAAGCUGCAAGAGCUUGAACUGGGGCCUGGAGGCUACAUCUAAAUUUAUGUGCCCAUUGACUCUCCCCCAAGAAUAUCCCUUUCUUCCUUUAUAACUGCACCAAGUAUACGCUUGUGGUGAUAAGCACAAGAUCAAAUAAUCAUACAUCAACAAUAACUGUAAAUCAGAUGAUCAACGCUGCAAUCUUG